UACGGGAGGCAGCAGUGGGGAAUAUUGCACAAUGGGCGAAAGCCUGAUGCAGCAACGCCGCGUGAGCGAUGAAGGCCUUCGAGUCGUAAAGCUCUGUCCUCAAGGAAGAUAACGGCGGUUCUUGAGGAAGAAGCCCCGGCCAACUUCGUGCCAGCCGCCGCGGUAAUUCGUAGGGGGCUAGCGUUAUCCGGAUUUACUGGGCGUAAAGGGGGCCGUCGGCGGUCUUUUAAGUCAGGAGUGAAAGGCUACGGCUCAACCGUAGUAAGCUCUUGAAACUGGGGGACUUGAGUGCAGGAGAGGAGAGUGGAAUUCCUAGUGUAGCGGUGAAAUGCGUAGAUAUUAGGAGGAACACCAGUAGCGAGGGCGGCUCUCUGGACUGUAACUGACGCUGAGGCGCGAAAGCGUGGGGAGCACACAGGAUUAGAUACCCUGGUAGUCCACGCCGUAAACGAUGAGUACUAGCUGUC
Molecule: ribosomal RNA, 467 nt
Filed under: uncultured bacterium
Lineage: Bacteria
Description: bacterial SSU rRNA
Rfam family: Bacterial small subunit ribosomal RNA
Source: RNAcentral